AUUGAACGCUGGCGGCAUGCUUUACACAUGCAAGUCGAACGGCAGCACGGACUUCGGUCUGGUGGCGAGUGGCGAACGGGUGAGUAAUACAUCGGAACGUACCCAGUAAUGGGGGAUAACUAUCCGAAAGGAUAGCUAAUACCGCAUACGCCCUACGGGGGAAAGAGGGGGAUCGCAAGACCUCUUGUUAUUGGAGCGGCCGAUGGCUGAUUAGCUAGUUGGUGAGGUAAAGGCUCACCAAGGCGACGAUCAGUAGCGGGUCUUAGAGGACGAUCCGCCACACUGAAACUGAGGCACGGGCCAGACUCCUACGGGAGGCAGCAGUGGGGAAUCUUGGACAAUGGGCGCAAGCCUGAUCCAGCAAUGCCGCGUGCGUGAAGAAGGCCUUCGGGUUGUAAAGCGCUUUUGUCAGGGAGCAAAUCCUUGUGGCUAAUACCCACCGGGGAUGAGAGUACCUGAAGAAUAAGGACCGGCUAACUACGUGCCAGCCGCCGCAGUAA
This 500-nucleotide ribosomal RNA is filed under the name uncultured bacterium. RNAcentral's name for it is "partial 16S ribosomal RNA". It matches the Rfam family "Bacterial small subunit ribosomal RNA", at positions 30 to 523 of the family's 1533-position model. The record is from RNAcentral.